CCUACGGGAGGCAGCAGUGGGGAAUUUYGGACAAUGGGCGCAAGCCUGAUCCAGCCAUGCCGCGUGAGUGAAGAAGGCUUCGGGUUGUAAAGCUCUUUCGGCCGGGAAGAAAUCGUGGUCUCUAACAUAGGCCAUGGAUGACGGUACCGGACUAAGAAGCACCGGCUUAUVUUAMGUGSCCAGCAGCCGCGGUAAU
This 196-nucleotide ribosomal RNA is filed under the name uncultured bacterium. Its description in RNAcentral is "partial 16S ribosomal RNA". It matches the Rfam family "Bacterial small subunit ribosomal RNA", at positions 338 to 524 of the family's 1533-position model. The record is from RNAcentral.